This 253-nucleotide ribosomal RNA is filed under the name uncultured bacterium. RNAcentral describes it as "partial 16S ribosomal RNA". It matches the Rfam family "Bacterial small subunit ribosomal RNA", at positions 524 to 776 of the family's 1533-position model. The record is from RNAcentral.
UACGGAGGGUGCAAGCGUUGUUCGGAAUUAUUGGGCGUAAAGGGUGCGUAGGCGGUGUGUUAAGUCAGGUGUGAAAUCUCGGGGCUUAACUCCGAAACUGCAUUUGAUACUGGCGUGCUUGAGUGCUGGAGAGGAGACUGGAAUUCCUGGUGUAGCAGUGAAAUGCGUAGAGAUCAGGAGGAAGACCAGUGGCGAAGGCGGGUCUCUGGACAGUACCUGACACUGAGGCACGAAGGCCUGGGGAGCAAACGGG